GGGGACCAUCCUCCAAGGCUAAAUACUCCUGACUGACCGAUAGUGAACCAGUACCGUGAGGGAAAGGCGAAAAGAACCCCGGCGAGGGGAGUGAAAAAGAACCUGAAACCGUGUACGUACAAGCAGUGGGAGCACAGAGCAAUCUGUGUGACUGCGUACCUUUUGUAUAAUGGGUCAGCGACUUAUAUUCUGUAGCAAGGUUAACCGAAUAGGGGAGCCGAAGGGAAACCGAGUCUUAACUGGGCGUUAAGUUGCAGGGUAUAGACCCGAAACCCGGUGAUCUAGCCAUGGGCAGGUUGAAGGUUGGGUAACACUAACUGGAGGACCGAACCGACUAAUGUUGAAAAAUUAGCGGAUGACUUGUGGCUGGGGGUGAAAGGCCAAUCAAACCGGGAGAUAGCUGGUUCUCCCCGAAAGCUAUUUAGGUAGCGCCUCGUGAAUUCAUCUCCGGGGGUAGAGCACUGUUUCGGCAAGGGGGUCAUCCCGACUUACCAACCCGAUGCAAACUGCGAAUACCGGAGAAUGUUAUCACGGGAGACACACGGCGGGUGCUAACGUCCGUCGUGAAGAGGGAAACAACCCAGACCGCCAGCUAAGGUCCCAAAGUCAUGGUUAAGUGGGAAACGAUGUGGGAAGGCCCAGACAGCCAGGAUGUUGGCUUAGAAGCAGCCAUCAUUUAAAGAAAGCGUAAUAGCUCACUGGUCGAGUCGGCCUGCGCGGAAGAUGUAACGGGGCUAAACCAUGCACCGAAGCUGCGGCAGCGACACUGUGUGUUGUUGGGUAGGGGAGCGU
This 792-nucleotide ribosomal RNA is filed under the name Escherichia coli. Its description in RNAcentral is "partial 23S ribosomal RNA". It matches the Rfam family "Bacterial large subunit ribosomal RNA", at positions 448 to 1239 of the family's 2925-position model. The record is from RNAcentral. Lineage: Bacteria; Pseudomonadati; Pseudomonadota; Gammaproteobacteria; Enterobacterales; Enterobacteriaceae.